RNAcentral lists this ribosomal RNA (468 nucleotides) under uncultured bacterium. Its description in RNAcentral is "partial 16S ribosomal RNA". It matches the Rfam family "Bacterial small subunit ribosomal RNA", at positions 28 to 507 of the family's 1533-position model. The record is from RNAcentral.
GACGAACGCUGGCGGCAUGCUUAACACAUGCAAGUCGAACGGAAAGGCCCUGCUUUUGUGGGGUGCUCGAGUGGCGAACGGGUGAGUAACACGUGAGUAACCUGCCCUUGACUUUGGGAUAACUUCAGGAAACUGGGGCUAAUACCGGAUAGGAGCUCCUGCUGCAUGGUGGGGGUUGGAAAGUUUCGGCGGUUGGGGAUGGACUCGCGGCUUAUCAGCUUGUUGGUGGGGGAGUGGCUUACCAAGGCUUUGACGGGUAGCCGGCCUGAGAGGGUGACCGGCCACAUUGGGACUGAGAUACGGCCCAGACUCCUACGGGAGGCAGCAGUGGGGAAUAUUGCACAAUGGGCGGAAGCCUGAUGCAGCAACGCCGCGUGCGGGAUGACGGCCUUCGGGUUGUAAACCGCUUUCGCCUGUGACGAAGCGUGAGUGACGGUAAUGGGUAAAGAAGCACCGGCUAACUACGUG